Molecule: ribosomal RNA, 460 nt
Filed under: uncultured bacterium
Lineage: Bacteria
Description: partial 16S ribosomal RNA
Rfam family: Bacterial small subunit ribosomal RNA
Source: RNAcentral
CCUACGGGAGGCAGCAGUGAGGAAUAUUGGUCAAUGGGCGCGAGCCUGAACCAGCCAAGUAGCGUGAAGGAUGACUGCCCUACGGGUUGUAAACUUCUUUUAUAAAGGAAUAAAGUGAGGCACGGGUGCCUUUCUGUAUGUACUUUAUGAAUAAGGAUCGGCGAACUCCACGCCAGCAGCAGCGGUAAUACGGUGGAUACGAGCGUUAUCCGGAUUUAUUGGGUUUAAAGGGAGCGUAGAUGGGUGGUUAAGUCAGUUGUGAAAGUUUGCGGCUCAACCGUAAAAUUGCAAUUGAUACUGGCAGCCUUGAGUACAUUUGAGGUAGGCGGAAUUCGUGGUGUAGCGGUGAAAUGCUUAGAUAUGACGAAGAACUCCGAUUGCGAAGGCAGCCUACUAAGCUGCCACUGACAUUGAUGCUCGAAAGUGUGGGUAUCAAACAGGAUUAGAUACCCCAGUAGUC